This 1028-nucleotide long non-coding RNA is filed under the name Camarhynchus parvulus. RNAcentral's name for it is "lncRNA (ENSCPVG00000017689.1)". Lineage: Eukaryota; Metazoa; Chordata; Aves; Passeriformes; Thraupidae. The record is from RNAcentral.
UUUUAUUGUAUUUUAUUUUUUUUAUUUUAUUGUAUUUUAUUUUAUUUUAUUGUAUUUUUUCUAUUUUAUUUUAUUGUAUUGUAUUUUAUUUUAUUUUAUUUUAUUUUAUUUUCAUUUUUAUUUUUAUCUUUAUUUUUGUUUUGUUUUUAUUUUGUUUUACUUUAUUUUAAUUUUUACUUUUAUUUUACUUUAUUUAUUUUCUCUCUCCCCCAGCUACGCUCGCCGGGACAGCCCCAACUACGACCCGUACAAACGCUCCCCCUCGGAAUCCAGCUCCGAGUCCCGCUCCCGGUCCCGGACGCCGUCCCCGGGCCACGAGGAGAAGAUCACCUUCAUCACCAGCUUCGGCAGCGCGCGAGGGAGUUCCCGGCCCGGGAAGCUGGGGAGUACCGGCGCGAGCACCGGCGCCAGCAGCUCGGCGCCCGCCCACCGAGCCGCCUCCCGGCGCCGCUCUUCCUCCACCUCCAGCUCCUCCUCCUCCUCCUCGCGCUCCUCCUCCUCCUCCUCGUUCAGCUCGGGCGGCUCCCGCAGCCCCUCCCGGGGCUCCCGCCCGCCCUUCCGGGGCCGCUCCCGGGGCCUCUUCCGGGGCCGCUCCCGCCGCUCGCGGAGCCGCUCGCGGAGCCGCAGCCGCUCCCGGAGCCGCUCGCGGAGCCGCAGCCGCCGCUGGGGCGGCUCCGGGACGCACUCGCUAUCCACUUCCCGGAGCAGCAGCAGCAACAGCAACAGGGACACGCCACCGCCACCGCUCCCCAGGUCAGUGCGGGCUUAGGGCGGUUUGGGGUACCCAGGGCAGUUGCCGAUUUGGGGAAGCCAUGCUCGCUCCCGGAGCAACCGGCAGCAAACUGGCGGGCCGCCACCCGCCGCCGCUCCAGGUCAGUGUCUUGGGGCAGUUUGGGACACUUUGGGACAGUUUGGGUCAGUUUGGGGCAGUCGUUGGGUUGGGUGUUGGGUCAGUUGGGGCAGUUUGGGUCAGUUUGGGGCAGUUUGGACGGUUGGACGGUUUGCGGUCAGGUUGGGUCGUUGGGUUA